RNAcentral lists this ribosomal RNA (1393 nucleotides) under uncultured bacterium. RNAcentral's name for it is "partial 16S ribosomal RNA". It matches the Rfam family "Bacterial small subunit ribosomal RNA". The record is from RNAcentral.
GAAUUCGCCCUUAGAGUUUGAUCCUGGCUCAGGACGAACGCUGGCGGCGUGCUUAACACAUGCAAGUCGAGCGGGGAUAGUUGAGGCUUCGGCGGAGACUAUUCUAGCGGCGGACGGGUGAGUAACGCGUGAGCAAUCUGUCCCGGACAGGGGGAUAACACUGUGAAAACAGUGCUAAUACCGCAUAAGACCACGGAGGGGCAUCCCUUUGAGGUAAAAGAAUUAUCGGUUCGGGGUGAGCUCGCGUCCCAUUAGAUAGUUGGUGAGGUAACGGCUCACCAAGUCAGCGAUGGGUAGCCGACCUGAGAGGGUGAUCGGCCACAUUGGAACUGAGACACGGUCCAGACUCCUACGGGAGGCAGCAGUGGGGAAUAUUGGGCAAUGGGCGCAAGCCUGACCCAGCAACGCCGCGUGAAGGAAGAAGGUUUUCGGAUUGUAAACUUCUGUCCUAAGUGACGAAGGAAGUGACGGUAGCUUAGGAGGAAGCCCCGGCUAACUACGUGCCAGCAGCCGCGGUAAUACGUAGGGGGCGAGCGUUGUCCGGAAUGACUGGGCGUAAAGGGCGUGUAGGCGGCUCUUUAAGUAUGGAGUGAAACCCCGGCUUUCAAGGACGGGACUGCUUUGUAGACUGGAGAGCUUGAGUGCGGAAGAGGUAAGUGGAAUUCCCAGUGUAGCGGUGAAAUGCGUAGAGAUUGGGAGGAACACCAGUGGCGAAGGCGACUUACUGGGUCGUAACUGACGCUGAGGCGCGAAAGCGUGGGGAGCGAACAGGAUUAGAUACCCUGGUAGUCCGCACAGUCAACGAUGUACACUGGAUUUUUGGGCAUGAGCCUGAGAGUCGUAGCAAACGCGUUAAGUGUACCGCCUGGGGAGUAUGCCCGCAAGGGUGAAACUCAAAGGAAUUGACGGGGGACCGCACAAGCGGUGGAGCAUGUGGUUUAAUUCGAUGGUACGCGAGGAACCUUACCUGGGUUUGACAUACAAAGGAAUAAUUUAGAGAUAAGUUAGCGUAGCAAUACGUCUUUGAACAGGUGCUGCAUGGCUGUCGUCAGCUCGUGCUGUGAAGUGUUAUGUUAAGUCAUAAAACGAGCGCAACCCCUAUUGUUAUUUACCAACAGGUCAAGCUGGGAACUAUAACGAAACUGCCGAUGACAAAUCGGAGGAAGGUGGGGAUGACGUCAAGUCAUCAUGGCCCUUAUGUCCAGGGCUACACACGUGCUACAAUGGUAGGUACAGAGUGAGGCGAAACAGUGAUGUGGAGCAAAACGCAGAAAACCUAUCGUAGUUCGGAUUGAAGUCUGAAACCCGACUUCAUGAAGUUGGAAUCGCUAGUAAUCGCAUAUCAGCAUGAUGCGGUGAAUACGUUCCCGGUCCUUGCACUCACCGCCCGUCA